RNAcentral lists this ribosomal RNA (466 nucleotides) under Hepatozoon canis. Its description in RNAcentral is "bacterial SSU rRNA". It matches the Rfam family "Eukaryotic small subunit ribosomal RNA", at positions 436 to 897 of the family's 1831-position model. The record is from RNAcentral. Lineage: Eukaryota; Apicomplexa; Hepatozoidae.
GCAAUUACCCAAUUCUAACAGUUUGAGAGAGGUAGUAACAAGAAAUAACAAUACAAGGCAGUUAAAAUGCUUUGUAAUUGGAAUGAUAGAAAUUUAAACCCUUUUUAAAGUAUCAAUUGGAGGGCAAGUCUGGUGCCAGCAGCCGCGGUAAUUCCAGCUCCAAUAGCGUAUAUUAAAAUUGUUGCAGUUAAAAAGCUCGUAGUUGAAGUUCUGCUAAAAGUAACCGGUCUGCUUUUAAUAAAGGUGGUAUCUUGGUGUGUAUUUAGCAAUGAUGUCCUUUGAAGUGUUUUUUACUUUAUUGUAAUAAAGCAUAUUCAGGACUUUUACUUUGAGAAAAUUAGAGUGUUUCUAGCAGGCUAACGCUUUGAAUACUGCAGCAUGGAAUAAUAAGAUAGGAUUUUAGUUCUACAUUAUUGGUUUUAAGAGCUAAAUUAAUGAUUGAUAGGGACAGUUGGGGGCAUCCUAU